CACGAACGAGGGAAUAAAACACGGACGGGGGAUAAAACACGGACGAGGGAAUAAAACACGGACGGGGGAUAAAACACGGACGAGGGAAUAAAACACGGACGGGGGAUUAGGCGAGCAUACAGAUAUGGAUACACAACAAAAAGUGUUCAGAUAAUUGAUGUGAUUAAAGAAAGAGACAUGAGUUUAUUUGAAAAAAUAUGUAGUAACCCAGACCACUCUUUAUACGAACUACUUCCUCCUAAAAGACAAAGACCGUUAAGAGAACGCGAACACGAUUUCAUAUUACCUAAGGUUAAAACAGAAAGAUUCAAACGGUCGUUUUUAAAUAGGUG
This is a non-coding RNA of Paramuricea clavata, 332 nucleotides long. NCBI's taxonomy places the organism in Eukaryota, Metazoa, Cnidaria, Anthozoa, Malacalcyonacea, Plexauridae. The record is from the annotation of a GenBank genome assembly.